UACGUAGGGGGCAAGCGUUGUCCGGAUUCAUUGGGCGUAAAGAGCGUGUAGGCGGCCAGGUAGGUCGGUUGUGAAAACUGGAGGCUCAACCUUCAGAGGUCGACCGAAACCAUCUGGCUAGAGUCCGGGAGAGGAGAGUGGAAUUCCUGGUGUAGCGGUGAAAUGCGCAGAUAUCAGGAAGAACACCCGUGGCGAAAGCGGCUCUCUGGACCAUAACUGACGCUGAUGCACGAAAGCUAGGGGAGCGAACAGG
Molecule: ribosomal RNA, 253 nt
Filed under: uncultured bacterium
Lineage: Bacteria
Description: partial 16S ribosomal RNA
Rfam family: Bacterial small subunit ribosomal RNA
Source: RNAcentral